RNAcentral lists this ribosomal RNA (459 nucleotides) under uncultured bacterium. RNAcentral describes it as "partial 16S ribosomal RNA". It matches the Rfam family "Bacterial small subunit ribosomal RNA", at positions 338 to 795 of the family's 1533-position model. The record is from RNAcentral.
CCUACGGGUGGCAGCAGUGAGGAAUAUUGGUCAAUGGCCGGAAGGCUGAACCAGCCAAGUCGCGUGAGGGACGACUGCCCUAUGGGUUGUAAACCUCUUUUAUAAGGGAAGAAUAAAUGCUACGUGUAGCAUGAUGCCUGUACCUUAUGAAUAAGCCUCGGCUAACUACGUGCCCGCAGCCGGGGUAAUACGGAGGAUGCGAGCGUUAUCCGGAUUUAUUGGGUUUAAAGGGUGGGUAGGCGGCGUGUCAAGUCCGCGGUAAAAUGGCGGGGCUCAACCCCGGCCGGCCGUUGAAACUGGCGUGCGUGAGUGGGAGAGGAGUAUGCGGAAUUCGUGGUGUAGCGGUGAAAUGCAUAGAUAUCACGAAGAACCCCGAUGGCGAAGGCAGCAUACCGGCUCCACACUGACGCUGAGGCACGAAAGCGUGGGUAUCGAACAGGAUUAGAUACCCCAGUAGUC